Molecule: unclassified non-coding RNA, 330 nt
Organism: Ictidomys tridecemlineatus (thirteen-lined ground squirrel)
Lineage: Eukaryota; Metazoa; Chordata; Mammalia; Rodentia; Sciuridae
Gene: 7SK
Rfam family: 7SK RNA
About the family: 7SK was discovered as an abundant small nuclear RNA in the mid-70s but a possible function has only recently been suggested. Two independent studies have found that 7SK RNA binds the CDK9/cyclin T complex (known as elongation factor P-TEFb). P-TEFb activates transcription by phosphorylating the C-terminal domain of RNA polymerase II.
Source: Ensembl
AAAUGUGAGGGCAAUCUGGCUGUGACAGAUGUCACUCCAUUGAUUGCCAGGGUAACAUUCAGCUGAUCUGGCUGGCCAGGCGGGUGUCCCCUUCCACCCUCACCACUCCAUGUGUGUCCCUCCCAAAGAUGUGGGCCAAAGAGGACGAAAUUCCCCAAUAGAUCGAGGAGGACCGUUCUUCUAGCAAGGGUAUACAAAUAGCUGCACUCCCCUGCUAGAACCUCCAAAUAAGCUCUGCAAAUGACCUGCCUCUUCAUGAUUCAAGUUGGUCCAUGCUCAUGGUUUCUUCAUUGUCCAAAAUGGCGGCUAUGGCUCCAAGUCAUUACAUUU